RNAcentral lists this ribosomal RNA (388 nucleotides) under uncultured bacterium. RNAcentral describes it as "partial 16S ribosomal RNA". The record is from RNAcentral.
CGGGCUUAAUGGCGCCGCCGACCGUGUCUCAAUCGGCCACGAAGGAAACCUCCAUGGCAGUUCAGGCCCGCAAUGGGGCUUAAAAAGCAGGGAGGGCUGUCACGAAAUGUUGGGCUUCCGGAAGUAGUGUGUGCGCCGUAACGACCUAGUCCGAAAGCGGGUAACAGGUUAUAAGGGGUGACGACGGAGGGCAUCCUCAGGCCUGGCACAGAGUCAAGGCCACACCGACUAGCAGGAGAGUCUGGUCGAUGCCUAGCAACGAACCAUCCGGCAAUGGGAUGGUUGAUCGAUUAGGCUGAACCCGAGUAGGUUAUCGCGCUCCAGGCUUCUAGGGGGCGAAAGAGGGCAUCCUGCAUACGCCAUAAUCGUGCCGAAAGCGGCACAACAG